UACAGAGGGUGCUAGCGUUAAUCGGAAUUACUGGGCGUAAAGGGCGCGUAGGCGGUUGUUUAAGUUUGAUGUGAAAGCCCCGGGCUUAACCUGGGAACUGCAUUGAAUACUGGGCGACUAGAGUACUGUAGAGGGUAGUGGAAUUUCCGGUGUAGCGGUGAAAUGCGAAGAGAUCGGAAGGAACACCAGUGGCGAAGGCGGCUACCUGGACAGAUACUGACGCUGAGGCGCGAGAGCGUGGGGAGCAAACAGG
RNAcentral lists this ribosomal RNA (253 nucleotides) under uncultured bacterium. Its description in RNAcentral is "partial 16S ribosomal RNA". It matches the Rfam family "Bacterial small subunit ribosomal RNA", at positions 524 to 776 of the family's 1533-position model. The record is from RNAcentral.